CAGCCGCCGCGGGAAUGCGAAGGGUGCAAGCGUUAAUCGGAAUUACUGGGCGUAAAGCGUGCGUAGGCGGUUUGUUAAGUCUGUUGUGAAAUCCCCGGGCUCAACCUGGGAAUGGCAAUGGAUACUGGCAAGCUAGAGUGUGUCAGAGGAUGGUGGAAUUCCCGGUGUAGCGGUGAAAUGCGUAGGGAUCGGGAGGAACAUCAGUGGCGAAGGCGGUCAUCUGGGACAACACUGACGCUGAGGCACGAAAGCGUGGGGAGCAAACAGGAUUAGAUACCCGAGUAGUCCCUGUCUCUUAUAC
RNAcentral lists this ribosomal RNA (301 nucleotides) under uncultured bacterium. Its description in RNAcentral is "partial 16S ribosomal RNA". It matches the Rfam family "Bacterial small subunit ribosomal RNA", at positions 509 to 807 of the family's 1533-position model. The record is from RNAcentral.